CCUACGGGCGGCAGCAGUGGGGAAUAUUGCACAAUGGGGGAAACCCUGAUGCGGCGACGCCGCGUGAGUGAAGAAGUAUUUCGGUACGUAAAGCUCUAUCAGCAGGGAAGAAAAUGACGGUACCUGACUAAGAAGCCCCGGCUAACUACGUGCCAGCAGCCGCGGUAAUACGUAGGGGGCAAGCGUUAUCCGGAUUUACUGGGUGUAAAGGGAGCGUAGACGGCAGCGCAAGUCUGGAGUGAAAUCCCAUGGCUUAACCAUGGAACUGCUUUGGAAACUGUGCAGCUAGAGUGCAGGAGAGGUAAGCGGAAUUCCUAGUGUAGCGGUGAAAUGCGUAGAUAUUAGGAGGAACACCAGUGGCGAAGGCGGCUUACUGGACUGUAACUGACGUUGAGGCUCGAAAGCGUGGGGAGCAAACAGGAUUAGAUACCCCAGUAGUC
This 440-nucleotide ribosomal RNA is filed under the name uncultured bacterium. RNAcentral's name for it is "partial 16S ribosomal RNA". It matches the Rfam family "Bacterial small subunit ribosomal RNA", at positions 338 to 795 of the family's 1533-position model. The record is from RNAcentral.